AGCUCAGAUUGUAGGCUGAAACUCGCCUAUAUGAAGUCGGAAUUGCUAGUAAUCGCGGAUCAGCAUGCCGCGGUGAAUACGUUCCCGGGCCUUGUACACACCGCCCGUCACACCAUGAGAGUCGAUAACACCCGAAGCCUGUAGUCUAACAGCAAUGAGGACGCAGUCGAAGGUGGGAUUGAUAAUUAGGGUGAAGUCGUAACAAGGUAUC
Molecule: ribosomal RNA, 211 nt
Filed under: uncultured bacterium
Lineage: Bacteria
Description: partial 16S ribosomal RNA
Rfam family: Bacterial small subunit ribosomal RNA
Source: RNAcentral